This 497-nucleotide ribosomal RNA is filed under the name uncultured bacterium. RNAcentral describes it as "partial 16S ribosomal RNA". It matches the Rfam family "Bacterial small subunit ribosomal RNA", at positions 28 to 507 of the family's 1533-position model. The record is from RNAcentral.
GAUGAACGCUGGCGGCGUGCCUAAUACAUGCAAGUCGAGCGAACGGACGAGAAGCUUGCUUUGCUGACGUUAGCGGCGGACGGGUGAGUAACACGUGGAUAACCUACCUAUAAUACUGGGAUAACUUCGGGAAACCGGAGCUAAUACCGGAUAAUAUUUUGAACCGCAUGGGUCAAAAGUGAAAGACGGUCUUGCGGGCACUUAUAGAUGGAUCCGCGCUGCAUUGGCUAGUUGGUAAGGUAACGGCUUACCAAGGCAACGAUGCAUAGCCGACCUGAGAGGGUGAUCGGCCACCCGGGAACGGAGCCACCGUCCCGACUCCUGCGGGAGGCCGCAGUCGGGAACCUUCCGCAAUGGGGGAAAGCAUGACGGAGCGACGCCGCGUGAGUUAUGGAGGUCUUCGGAUCGUAAAGCUCUGUUAUGGGUGAAGAACAUAUGUGGACGUAACUGUGCAGAUCUUGACGGUACCUAGUCAGAAAGCCCCGGCUAACUACGUG